This 440-nucleotide ribosomal RNA is filed under the name uncultured bacterium. Its description in RNAcentral is "bacterial SSU rRNA". It matches the Rfam family "Bacterial small subunit ribosomal RNA", at positions 958 to 1399 of the family's 1533-position model. The record is from RNAcentral.
AACGCGAAGAACCUUACCUGGGCUUGAACCGCUACUGACCAACGGUGGAAACAUCGUCUUCCCGCAAGGGACAGUAGUAGAGGUGCUGCAUGGCUGUCGUCAGCUCGUGCCGUGAGGUGUUGGGUUAAGUCCCGCAACGAGCGCAACCCUUACCCUUAGUUGCCACCCGCAAGGGGGAACUCUAAGGGGACUGCUCCGGAUAACGGAGAGGAAGGUGGGGAUGACGUCAAGUCAGCACGGCCUUUAUGUCCAGGGCUACACACGUGUUACAAUGCAUGGUACAGACCGUCGCGAACCCGCGAGGGGGAGCUAAUCGGAAAAACCAUGCUCAGUUCGGACUGCAGUCUGCAACUCGACUGCACGAAGCCGGAAUCGCUAGUAAUGCCGUAUCAGAACGACGGCGUGAAUACGUUCCCGGGCCUUGUACACACCGACUGUAC